This 280-nucleotide unclassified non-coding RNA is filed under the name Hevea brasiliensis (rubber tree). The record is from RNAcentral. Lineage: Eukaryota; Viridiplantae; Streptophyta; Magnoliopsida; Malpighiales; Euphorbiaceae.
AGAGUCCUGUGUUUCUUCCUCAUAUGUCCUAAUACAAAAUCUAUUUCCUAAAUGGGAGAUUAUUGGGCUUAUCUACUCCCUUAGAUGUAGAGGAACAAGAUGAGGACAUGUUAGUCUUAGCAAAUUCUUCUUUAUCCUCCGUGAAUGCUUUAGACAAAAUUUCUUGAAGUUCCAUGUACCUUUGCUUCUUCAGUUGACGCUCUUCUACUGUAUCAUUCCCCAUGUAAGCUAUCUCAGACAAGUCAUCAGCAUCCAUGAUCUUAUUUAGAACUUCUGAACA